AGCAGCCGCGGUAAUUCCAGCUCCAAUAGCGUAUAUUAAAGUUGUUGCAGUUAAAAAGCUCGUAGUUGAAUUUCGGGGUUAGUAGGCUGGUCGUGCCACUGGUACGUACUGGUCUCACUGAUUCCUCCUUCCUGAUGAACCGUAAUGCCAUUAAUUUGGUGUUGCGGGGAAACUGGACUGUUACUUUGAAAAAAUUAGAGUGUUUAAAGCAAGCUAACGCUUGAAUACAUUAGCAUGGAAUAAUGAAAUAGGACGUUCGAUCCUAUUUUGUUGGUUUCUAGGAUUGACGUAAUGAUUAAUAGGGAUAGUUGGGGGCAUUAGUAUUCAAUUGUCAGAGGUGAAAUUCUUGGAUUUAUUGAAGACUAACUACUACGAAAGCAUUUGCCAAGGAUGUUUUCAUUAAUCAAGAACGAAAGUUAGGGGAUCGAAGACGAUCAGAUACCGUCGUAGUCUUAACCAUAAACUAUGCCGACUAGGGAUCGGAUGAUGUUAAUUUUUUAAUGACUCAUUCGGCGCCUUA
RNAcentral lists this ribosomal RNA (520 nucleotides) under uncultured Glomus. RNAcentral describes it as "SSU rRNA". It matches the Rfam family "Eukaryotic small subunit ribosomal RNA", at positions 569 to 1090 of the family's 1831-position model. The record is from RNAcentral. Lineage: Eukaryota; Fungi; Glomeromycota; Glomeromycetes; Glomerales; Glomeraceae.